This 440-nucleotide ribosomal RNA is filed under the name uncultured bacterium. Its description in RNAcentral is "bacterial SSU rRNA". It matches the Rfam family "Bacterial small subunit ribosomal RNA", at positions 958 to 1397 of the family's 1533-position model. The record is from RNAcentral.
AACGCGAAGAACCUUACCUGGGCUCGAAGCGCAGUGGACCGCGGUAGAAAUACCGUUUACCCGCAAGAACUGCUCUAUAGGUGCUGCAUGGCUGUCGUCAGCUCGUGUCGUGAGAUGUUGGGUUAAGUCCCGCAACGAGCGCAACCCUUAUCGUUAGUUGCCAGCGGGUUAUGCCGGGCACUCUAGCGAAACCGCCUCGGAUAACGGGGAGGAAGGUGGGGAUGACGUCAAGUCCUCAUGGCCUUUAUGUCCAGGGCUACACACGUGCUACAAUGGCCGGUACAAACUGUCGCAAACCCGCGAGGGGGAGCUAAUCGGAAAAAGCCGGCCUCAGUUCGGAUUGGAGUCUGCAAUUCGACUCCAUGAAGCUGGAAUCGCUAGUAAUCGCGGAUCAGAACGCCGCGGUGAAUACGUUCCCGGGCCUUGUACACACCGCAUAC